This 497-nucleotide ribosomal RNA is filed under the name uncultured bacterium. RNAcentral's name for it is "partial 16S ribosomal RNA". It matches the Rfam family "Bacterial small subunit ribosomal RNA", at positions 28 to 507 of the family's 1533-position model. The record is from RNAcentral.
GAUGAACGCUGGCGGCGUGCCUAAUACAUGCAAGUCGAGCGAACAGAUGAGGAGCUUGCUCCUCUGACGUUAGCGGCGGACGGGUGAGUAACACGUGGAUAACCUACCUAUAAGACUGGGAUAACUUCGGGAAACCGGAGCUAAUACCGGAUAAUAUAUUGAACCGCAUGGUUCAAUAGUGAAAUACGGUUUUGCUGUCACUUAUAGAUGGAUCCGCGCCGCAUUAGCUAGUUGGUAAGGUAACGGCUUACCAAGGCAACGAUGCGUAGCCGACCUGAGAGGGGGAUCGGCCACACUGGAACUGAGACACGGUCCAGACUCCUACGGGAGGCAGCAGUAGGGAAUCUUCCGCAAUGGGCGAAAGCCUGACGGAGCAACGCCGCGUGAGUGAUGAAGGUCUUCGGAUCGUAAAACUCUGUUAUUAGGGAAGAACAAAUGUGUAAGUAACUAUGCACGUCUUGACGGUACCUAAUCAGAAAGCCACGGCUAACUACGUG